This 253-nucleotide ribosomal RNA is filed under the name uncultured bacterium. RNAcentral's name for it is "partial 16S ribosomal RNA". It matches the Rfam family "Bacterial small subunit ribosomal RNA", at positions 524 to 776 of the family's 1533-position model. The record is from RNAcentral.
UACAGAGGUCUCGAGCGUUGUUCGGAUUCAUUGGGCGUAAAGGGCGCGUAGGCGGCGGGGUAAGUCUGGUGUGAAAACUCAGGGCUUAACCCUGAGCUCGCAUCGGGUACGGGCAGACUAGAGUGCGGUAGGGGAGACUGGAAUUCCUGGUGUAGCGGUGAAAUGCGCAGAUAUCAGGAAGAACACCCGUGGCGAAGGCGGGAUCCUGGGCCAGUACUGACGCUGAGGAGCGAAAGCGUGGGGAGCAAACAGG